RNAcentral lists this ribosomal RNA (253 nucleotides) under uncultured bacterium. RNAcentral's name for it is "partial 16S ribosomal RNA". It matches the Rfam family "Bacterial small subunit ribosomal RNA", at positions 524 to 776 of the family's 1533-position model. The record is from RNAcentral.
UACGUAGGGGGCAAGCGUUGUCCGGAAUCAUUGGGCGUAAAGAGCUCGUAGGUGGUUUGUCGCGUUGUUCGUGAAAACUCACAGCUCAACUGUGGGCGUGCGGGCGAUACGGGCAGACUUGAGUACUGCAGGGGAGACUGGAAUUCCUGGUGUAGCGGUGGAAUGCGCAGAUAUCAGGAGGAACACCGGUGGCGAAGGCGGGUCUCUGGGCAGUAACUGACGCUGAGGAGCGAAAGCGUGGGGAGCGAACAGG